This 465-nucleotide ribosomal RNA is filed under the name uncultured bacterium. RNAcentral's name for it is "partial 16S ribosomal RNA". It matches the Rfam family "Bacterial small subunit ribosomal RNA", at positions 338 to 795 of the family's 1533-position model. The record is from RNAcentral.
CCUACGGGUGGCUGCAGUAGGGAAUCUUCCACAAUGGACGAAAGUCUGAUGGAGCAACGCCGCGUGAGUGAAGAAUGGUUUCGGCUCGGAAAGCUCUGUUGGUAGUGAAGAAAGAUGGAGGUAGUAACUGGCCUUGAUUUGACGGUAAUUACUUAGAAAGUCACGGCUAACUACGUGCCAACCGCCGCGGUAGUACGUAGGUGGCAAGCGUUGUCCGGAUUUAUUGGGCGUAAAGGGAGUGCAGGUGGUUUGAUAAGUCUGAUGUGAAAGCCUUCGGCUCAACCGGAGAAUUGCAUCAGAAACUGUUGAACUUGAGUGCAGAAGAGGUGAGCGGAACUCGAUGUGUAGCGGUGGAAUGCUUAGAUAUAAGGAAGAACACCAGUGGCGAAGGCGGCUUUCUAGUCUGCAACUGACGCUGAGGCUCGAAAGCAUGGGUAGCGAACAGGAUUAGAUACCCGAGUAGUC